This 484-nucleotide ribosomal RNA is filed under the name uncultured bacterium. Its description in RNAcentral is "partial 16S ribosomal RNA". It matches the Rfam family "Bacterial small subunit ribosomal RNA", at positions 30 to 507 of the family's 1533-position model. The record is from RNAcentral.
AUUGAACGCUGGCGGCAGGCCUAACACAUGCAAGUCGAGCGGAUGAAGGGAGCUUGCUCCUGUCUUCAGCGGCGGGCGGGUGAGUAAUGCCUAGGAAUCUGCCUGGUAGUGGGGGCUAACGUCCGGACACGGGCGCUAAUACCGCAUACGUCCUGAUGGUGAAAGUGGUGGAUCUUCUGACCUCACGCUAUCAGAUGAGCCUAGGUCGGAUUAGCUAGUUGGUGGGGUAAAGGCCUACCAAGGCGACGAUCCGUAACUGGUCUGAGAGGAUGAUCAGUCACACUGGAACUGAGACACGGUCCAGACUCCUACGGGAGGCAGCAGUGGGGAAUAUUGGACAAUGGGCGAAAGCCUGAUCCAGCCAUGCCGCGUGUGUGAAGAAGGUCUUCGGAUUGUAAAGCACUUUAAGUUGGGAGGAAGGGCAGUAAGUUAAAACCUUGCUGUUUUGACGUUACCAACAGAAAAAGCAACGGCUAACUUCGUG